GAUGAACGCUGGCGGCGUGCCUAAUACAUGCAAGUCGAACGCUGGAAAUCUAGCUUGCUAGAUUGAAGGAGUGGCGAACGGGUGAGUAAUACAUAAGCAACCUACCCACGAAGACUGGGAUAAUCUCUGGAAACGGGGACUAAUACCGGAUAGGUAAUCGGAAGGCAUCUUCUGAUUAUUAAAGGUUAAAAACACUGGUGGAUGGGCUUAUGGCGCAUUAGUUAGUUGGUGAGGUAACGGCCCACCAAGACGAUGAUGCGUAGCCGGCCUGAGAGGGUGAACGGCCACAUUGGGACUGAGACACGGCCCAGACUCCUACGGGAGGCAGCAGUAGGGAAUUUUCGGCAAUGGGGGAAACCCUGACCGGGCAACGCCGCGUGCGUGAUGACGGCCUUCGGGUUGUAAAGCUCUGUUGUAAGGGAAGAACGGUAGAUAGAGAAUAUCUAAAUGACGGUACCUUACCAGAAAGCCACGGCUAACUACGUG
Molecule: ribosomal RNA, 486 nt
Filed under: uncultured bacterium
Lineage: Bacteria
Description: partial 16S ribosomal RNA
Rfam family: Bacterial small subunit ribosomal RNA
Source: RNAcentral